AGGGCCCUGGAAGCAGAAUCAAUUGACCCAGAAUUGUACAGGUGCUGGGUGGCGCAUCGGAUCUGAGUGCAAAUUCUGACUGCUAUUUAGCACCCUUAGGGGUAGAGCAAGCCACUUCCUCCUCUGUUCCUCUAGUUAGCCCCUGGGUAAAAACAAGGGGGGUCGGCUAGAUCAGACCACCCCUGAGCCUCUGGAAAUGAGGGAGUCAUGAUUCAAACCCAGGUCCUUGGCUCCAGACCUAGGCAGGGCUGAUCAAAGGAAGGUGCUCUGGACUUGGAAAUGGAGGAUCUGGAUUCAAAUCAUCUCAACUCCCAGGACCUCAGUUUCCUUCUCUGUAAUAAUAGCUGAUGGCCCCUUAUUAAUUAAUAAGAAGAACAGAUAAUUCUAGAGCUAUCUAAAGUCUGUGCAGCCUUUUAGAUUCAUUGUCUCCUUCAGACCUCAUGUCUACCCUAGCAGGUGAGGAAACAGAGGUGCCGAGAGCUGAUGUGACUUAUCUCCUAUCACACUGCUAAUAAGUCUCAAAGGCGGGAUUUGAACCCAGAACCUCCUAACACCAAAUCUAGUGUUCUUGCUACUACAUACCUGGACACCUCAAGGAGGAGGAAGAGGAGGAGCAGAGGUGAAGAAGGAGAAAGAAGAGAGAAGGAAGAAGGAAGAGGAGAAAGAGAAACCCCUUCUUUGCGUUCCAUUGGGCAGAAGAGAAGCCAGCGCUCCAGCGGAGAUUCUAUAGCUGCCCUGGAGGGAGGCGCCCCAGCAGCGCAAAGAGAAAAGAGGGAGGGUCUAUAGAGAGGGGUCAUGCAAUUGAGGGGUGUCCCCCCAGUAGAUCAGAGAGAAAAGGAGGGUCUAGAGAGGGGUCACGCAGUUGAGGGGUGGCCUCCCCCAGCAGAGCAGGGAGAAAAAAAGGAGGGUCUAGAGACAGGUCACGCAAUUGGGGGAGUGGUCCCCUAGGAGAGCAGAGAGAAAAGAGGGAGGGUCUAGAGAAGAGUCACGCAAUUGGGGGGGUGGUCCCCCAGCACAGCAGAGAGAAAAGAGGGAGAGUCUAGAGAGGAGUCACGCAAUCCCGAGAAGAUGAGGCAGGCGAGCAGGACCUGAGGGAGCCGUGCGGGACAGCAGGUAGGUGAGGGGUUACCCCCCCCAACACACCCUCAGCCUUAGGAGGAACAGAAACCGAAACCAAAAGGCCUGAGAAACCAGCUCCAAGCCCACUUUCAGUUUUGCAGGACCAGACACAGAGAAUUAUAAUGGAAAAAAUCGAAAAUUCUCUGCUCAUGAGACAGUCUUGGCUUGAAGAUCUGAACAUGGGGACAUGGGAACACGCGUCCAGCUUCUCCUGAGCCCCGAUUCCUCUCGUGCCUCCAGAGGGCGCUGUUUGAGGGAAAGGCUCGAUGAAUACUGGCUGAUUGAUUGGCCGAGUCGAAUGGCAAAAGCAGUCUGGGCUGGCCGCAUCCCUCCCCUCCCCCCUUCAGCGCUCACCUGGAGCCUGCUACGGAUGCAGGAGCUGGGAGCUAGGAGCUCUCCGCUGGAGAGGAAGGGGUAGACAGGGACUGAGCAAAGGCAUCUAGGGCUGGGAUUGGAGAGAGGCCAGAGACCAUCUCAUUUUACAGAGAGGGAAACUGAGGCCCAGAGAGACCAGGCACUCGUCCAAGUGAUGAGGAUGCAAAGAAGGCAGAGCUCCUGCCCUCAGGGAGCUCCCAGUCUAAUGGGGGAGACAGCGUGCAAAGCUCAAUACCAACUGCAGCCGGGAUGAGCUGGAGAGAACACAGAAGGAAGGCAGCGACAUGAGGGAGGACCAGGAGGCGCUUCUUGUAGAAGAUGGGAUUUGGGGUGAGACGUGAAGGAAGCCCGACAACGGGGAGGUGAAGACCCUUUGCUUGUGCAAAUAGCUCCACUCCCUUACAGAUACCCAAGAAGGGUCUCAAGGGCCCAAAAAAACCAUCUCCCUCUUGUCUCUCAGUCACUGGCCACCCUGUGCAUCACCCAGCUAGGGGGUGUUGAGCAGCAGACCCAGGGCUCCGCCCGCUCUUCUAGCCGUGGCUGGACAAGGCCGUGGAGGGAGAGGCCAUGAUGCUCUCCAAGCAGGAGUCCGCCACCUUCACCAACAGGACGGCAGGUCCCACUCCUGGCACCCUGGAUGCCGGUUAUGUGGUACAAAUCAAGCUGUUCAAGGACCUCCUCCCCAGACCUCUCCAAAGGGACUUUGCCCCCAUCAUGUCCCAGGCCACUCAGACAUUAACAGGGGUCAGCCUCUGGCUGCAUUGUUUGGACGGCUCCUCAGCCUUCCAGUUAAUCCACAAGCAUUCAUUAAUUGCCUGGUGCACUGGGCAUAGACAGUCCCUGCCCUCAAGGAGCCCAGAAGAGAUAACUUGGGCCCAUAGAGAUAUAUAAAAAUAGAUAAUAAUAAU
Phascolarctos cinereus (koala) is the source of this 2402-nucleotide long non-coding RNA. RefSeq lists it as uncharacterized. The record is from RefSeq and is a predicted model, not a curated record. NCBI's taxonomy places the organism in Eukaryota, Metazoa, Chordata, Mammalia, Diprotodontia, Phascolarctidae.